This 465-nucleotide ribosomal RNA is filed under the name uncultured bacterium. Its description in RNAcentral is "bacterial SSU rRNA". It matches the Rfam family "Bacterial small subunit ribosomal RNA", at positions 30 to 507 of the family's 1533-position model. The record is from RNAcentral.
AUUGAACGCUGGCGGCAUGCUUUACACAUGCAAGUCGAACGGAAACAUGGAGAAGCUUGCUUCUCUGAUGUCGAGUGGCGAACGGGUGAGUAAUACAUCGGAACAUGUCCUUUUGUGGGGGAUAACUACUCGAAAGAGUAGCUAAUACCGCAUAAGACCUAAGGGUGAAAGCGGGGGACCUUCGGGCCUCGCGCAGAUGGAGUGGCCGAUGACUGAUUAGCUAGUUGGUGGGGUAACGGCCUACCAAGGCGACGAUCAGUAGCCGGCCUGAGAGGGUGAACGGCCACAUUGGGACUGAGACACGGCCCAAACUCCUACGGGAGGCAGCAGUGGGGAAUAUUGCACAAUGGGGGAAACCCUGAUACAGCGACGCCGCGUGAGCGAUGAAGUAUUUCGGUAUGUAAAGCUCUAUCAGCAGGGAAGAAAAUGACGGUACCUGACUAAGAAGCACCGGCUAAAUACGUG